RNAcentral lists this microRNA (22 nucleotides) under Gallus gallus (chicken). Its description in RNAcentral is "Gga-Mir-1596_3p* (star (passenger))". Lineage: Eukaryota; Metazoa; Chordata; Aves; Galliformes; Phasianidae. The record is from RNAcentral.
AAAGGUGGCCAUGGGUGAAUGA